This is a long non-coding RNA of Gasterosteus aculeatus aculeatus (three-spined stickleback), 4063 nucleotides long. The record is from Ensembl. Lineage: Eukaryota; Metazoa; Chordata; Actinopteri; Perciformes; Gasterosteidae.
UUUCAAAGAUUGAGCCUUUCUCUCUUCCUUUCCUAUAAGUGUAAUACGAAAUAGAUGGUAAAGGUGAGGCAGGAAACAACACACGCCAUUCUAAUGGGGUAAAUAUCCUUGAUUAUGAAGUAAUUUACCUCCCCCAGGUUUGUGUGACGUUCCAGGGGUUUCUUUCGUUGGGGUACAGCAUUAUGUAUUCUGCUUGAACAGCAGGGGACACUGCAGUACCGUGCAUUGAACCACAACUGAAGUGCUGAAGAAACUUCAUAGCUGCUGUGCAGAGUCAUGCCCGCUGAAUGCUAUGACCCAGUCCUUCAUAUUUUACUAGAAGAACAUUCAGAGAUUACCUCUUACCCCCCCCACACACACACAAUUAUUAAAUUGUGUGUGUGUGUGUGUGGGGGGGGGGGCAGGGCUAAGCUGUGUUCUUUCUUUUGGGAUUGGAUCAAAUUCAUUCUGCAAAAUUUUACGUACAUGCUAGACAACUAAUCAGUACUUGGUUUUUAUUGCUCACAGGUUUCUCACUCAAAUAACCGCUUGCUACGUUCCUGACAGAUGAUGAAAAAAAGUUGAUAGUCAUGAAAGCGUUUAACCACCUCAAGCAGGCUACUCUCCUCUGCCUUAUUGUUUAUGUGAUUUAUUGUCAUUUUAUAAUGCGGUAAUAUCCGUCGUUUUUCCAUCUUGAUGUUCUUUUUAGUUGUUUCUUCUCUAACAAAAGUCACAUAUCCAAUAAACGUUUCACAGGGACACAAAUUUUGAUCGGGUAGGUGGAAUUGCAUUAAUACGACAUCGAUCCCCUGCCAGCCAAGUGUUUCCAGGAGAUCACACAACUCCGCAGCCCCGCUGUCGUCGGCUGGCUCAGAAGUGGCCGUUCUAGCAUCGUCUGUCGAUCCCACUCUCGGGAGCCUUUGGUGAAGGAUGAUGUUAGCGGUGAAUGACUUCUGAAAUUUAACCGGAUGUUCGAUUUGAACGUGGUGUUACCUCUCUGUAAUCUUACUCUCAGCUGGAAGGGAAUGUGAAUAGAGGGAGAACAACAGCCUGUUGUCGAUACAAACAGGAGCGUAGAGAGGAUGCAAGUAAAGGGCUUGAAAGAUGGGUUGAAGGAAAAAACAAGCAGCCAUGGUAAAGGGAAGACUGAGUGAAACGGCUAUCAGCGAGCUGUCUCUCUAUCAAGUGUCUGUCUCCUUCCGCCUUUCCGAUGGGUUCCCAUACGUAAUGGGAAAUGCAGUGCAGGUAAUGAACCUGUUUAUAGACUCAUUUUUACAAAAUUCAGUAGCAGCACAAAGGUUUGGUGGAAAGGGGAAUAGAAGAUGCACAAAGGACAAUUGAGAAUUCUGCAGGGUAAAAUGUUAUUGUCAUGAAUGUGCAUACUUUGAUGGGAAAAUAUACUUGCAGGUGUACUUUGAUGUCUCUUCACACGCACUGAUUGUUGUGACCAAGAUAAUUGGGCCCCUGUCGGCUCGCGUUGCGCCAUGAAUGCUUAACACCUGCCAAACUCGGGAGUAAUGCCUCGUAAAGCCAGGCGGCCGCACAUCUUGCAAGCUCGGUUUUCUUCACUGCUAAAUUUAAUAUCACGAGCUGAGAAGAAUUUGCGAGGUGGCGUGUUGCUAGGCCAUGGCUGGUAGUUAUUGUCUCUCGCUCUACUUGUGUUGCCUGGCACUGCAUCUGCAUAAUCACAAGAGUCUCCUGAGCUUCCGCAGUGCGUUUCUAACCCAACCAGUGAUAUUUUCACGCGCUGCAGGAGUCUGGUAAGCCUUGUUGAAAUUCCAUUUGUGCAAUAAAUACCCAGCAUGAAAUUCUAUUAGUUACAAGCGGUGCAGUAACACCAUGACCUUAAUUCUCGUUGAGCUGUAACAUAAAACAUGGUAAUAGAUUCACCUGUUGUAACACAUGGUUAACUGCUUGGUAGAAGUGCAUAUGUUGAUACCAAUGUGUUUUCCUUCUUAUUGAGUGAGCCUUCAUUCAGUACUGUGUCUCCGCCCGUUCCCCCUAAAUAUUGAUCCAGUAACAGGGACAGCUGUUCUCAUGCUGGGUGCUUGUAGGGGAGAACGGUGCCAUAAAGCAUCACUAUUCGCAAUCAUGUAAGGGGUCCUCUGUAAAGACUUGUUGUAUCUUGCAUACCAUUUGCAGCUAAGCACUUUUCUCCAGACUUACCCGACAAGUCAACUUUUUGUCAUCAGAGAAACUCAUUUUGUGUUUACGGUUUCUCCCAAAGAGAUGGCGUUGUCUCAGCGAGGAUUCUCUGAUGUGUACCGUAUGUGUGCUGUUCUUUCUCUGAUUGACCGGCUGUGACUACAUGUUCUGCCUCUUUAUAACCCCCAUUGAUUCCAUGGUCGCUUUACAACGGCCACAUUGCUUUAGUGGUUCUCUACGUUGCACCCGUUCGUAACGCCUCUAAAGGGGAGAGAAGGGUGAAGGUGGAUUCUGUGAUUGCAGAGUGAGGGAGAAGAGAAACAUUGCAGUUAGUGAAGGAAGCAGGUGGAGGAGAGAGAGGUCUCCAAGUCCCUUAUGAAAACUAUUUAUGGUGUAGAUUAAAUUUGAUGGUAUUCAGCAAAUACUGCUUCUGGAACCGUGUUGAUGUAAUGUGCAAGAACCAAUACAUUGACACCACCACAAAGGAAUUUAUAAUGAAAAAAACUGAUAUGUCUACAGAUUUGAUUUAUUAAAAGUAAACAAUUUCAACUAAAUAUAUAGAUUCAGAGCUACCUGGGUGUCAAGUAGUCUGAUGCACAUGCCGCACAAAACAUCAUCAGUAUUUCCCCUAUUACUUGGGGGGGGGGGGCACGCACACACACAAACACACUCUUGCGCGCACACACAAUUGACGCACUCCCACCAGAGAGCGAGCGUCGGAAAGGUGAAACACUGUGGUCUAGGUGUGAAUCUAGCCGGCGGCCUCACUCGCUCUUAACUUCAUUGUGUCUUUGUUACAGGAAAAAUCUUCGAAACCAAAUGAAAUAGUUUUGGGCUUUCAAUGUCUGCUAAGGUCACUGAAUGUGGUGCUUUAAAAACUUGCCGGACUUUGAAUGCAACCUUCAGCACUUUUUUAAGGCGAGACACUUGGGAAAGUCUUGGUUCAAAGAAUUCUAUCUUAUAGAUGCAAACAUGAAACCCUGCCGAGCAAUCCACACCUCUGGGUUCCUUGUGCGCUCCAAUAUUAUGGAAACUUUGACCGGUCUUCCUCCAGGGCCCUUCUUUGGGGGUUGUGGGCUCGGGUCAAGGCCAUUAAACCUGGCUUAAUAAGAUGCUGAGGCCCCCCAUCCCCCCCAUGCCCACAGGUCAAUGGGAGUUAUAAGGUCCAGAGUCAGCAAAGUCACAGUCCAGUCGUGUCAGCAAACUUCAGAGAUGGUUUGCAGCGUGUCUCUGUAGUGUAUUAAUCUUCUUCACGACACUCGCUGUUGAUAUUUACCAUUGAUGGCAAUUAAGGUUGUCUUUGGUGUAUUUGUGUUCUUUCUUAUUUGAAAACAUGCAUAUUUUCCUUGAGAGGCAAAGUCCCGCCCCUUCGGAUGGCCCAUCAUGGGAACUUAUCAAUAAAAAAUAUGUAUGGUAGUCAACAGCAACAUACAAAUAUGUGUGAGAAUGUGUUUCAUUAGCUUGUGAUGCGUAACUAUAAAAAAAAGGCCGGUGUGAGAGUGUAAAGCUUUCCAUGUGAAAUCGAUUUGUUUUACUGAGUAACAAAAAAGCACAAUGUGGGUAUUUCUCAGCAUCUCUGGUUUAACAAUAUACUUGAUUACAAACUUGAUUUGCUUCUGUAGAAAUUGUGUGGCAUUUAAAAAGCUCCCUGCAUUCAUAAAGCUACAACGUCCACUUUUUGUGGCGUGAUUCCCCACCACUCUUUUUACUUUAGAUUCAUUUGUUGUCACAUGUUUUCUGAAAGCAGUUGGAAAAAGUUGGAUGGUUGGAAAAACGAGCACAGGAGUUUGAAAAGACCUGAACAUGCAUAUUGCAGAGCUGUGGCAGCUUUUCUUAUAAUUUUGUGUGAUUAUGAUAGUAUUCUAUGUCAUGUUACAAGUUGUGGACUAAAUACCAGUAACAACUAGUUAUUUUUUCAGUUACCAUGUUUGUGAUUUCU